This 1008-nucleotide ribosomal RNA is filed under the name Acinetobacter nosocomialis. RNAcentral's name for it is "bacterial SSU rRNA". It matches the Rfam family "Bacterial small subunit ribosomal RNA", at positions 57 to 1061 of the family's 1533-position model. Lineage: Bacteria; Pseudomonadati; Pseudomonadota; Gammaproteobacteria; Moraxellales; Moraxellaceae. The record is from RNAcentral.
GCAGUCGAGCGGGGAAGGUAGCUUGCUACCGGACCUAGCGGCGGACGGGUGAGUAAUGCUUAGGAAUCUGCCUAUUAGUGGGGGACAACAUCUCGAAAGGGAUGCUAAUACCGCAUACGUCCUACGGGAGAAAGCAGGGGAUCUUCGGACCUUGCGCUAAUAGAUGAGCCUAAGUCGGAUUAGCUAGUUGGUGGGGUAAAGGCCUACCAAGGCGACGAUCUGUAGCGGGUCUGAGAGGAUGAUCCGCCACACUGGGACUGAGACACGGCCCAGACUCCUACGGGAGGCAGCAGUGGGGAAUAUUGGACAAUGGGCGCAAGCCUGAUCCAGCCAUGCCGCGUGUGUGAAGAAGGCCUUAUGGUUGUAAAGCACUUUAAGCGAGGAGGAGGCUACUUUAGAUAAUACCUAGAGAUAGUGGACGUUACUCGCAGAAUAAGCACCGGCUAACUCUGUGCCAGCAGCCGCGGUAAUACAGAGGGUGCAAGCGUUAAUCGGAUUUACUGGGCGUAAAGCGCGCGUAGGCGGCUAAUUAAGUCAAAUGUGAAAUCCCCGAGCUUAACUUGGGAAUUGCAUUCGAUACUGGUUAGCUAGAGUGUGGGAGAGGAUGGUAGAAUUCCAGGUGUAGCGGUGAAAUGCGUAGAGAUCUGGAGGAAUACCGAUGGCGAAGGCAGCCAUCUGGCCUAACACUGACGCUGAGGUGCGAAAGCAUGGGGAGCAAACAGGAUUAGAUACCCUGGUAGUCCAUGCCGUAAACGAUGUCUACUAGCCGUUGGGGCCUUUGAGGCUUUAGUGGCGCAGCUAACGCGAUAAGUAGACCGCCUGGGGAGUACGGUCGCAAGACUAAAACUCAAAUGAAUUGACGGGGGCCCGCACAAGCGGUGGAGCAUGUGGUUUAAUUCGAUGCAACGCGAAGAACCUUACCUGGCCUUGACAUAGUAAGAACUUUCCAGAGAUGGAUUGGUGCCUUCGGGAACUUACAUACAGGUGCUGCAUGGCUGUCGUCAGCUC